This 271-nucleotide long non-coding RNA is filed under the name Ananas comosus (pineapple). Its description in RNAcentral is "long non-coding RNA (ACOM_LNC002251)". Lineage: Eukaryota; Viridiplantae; Streptophyta; Magnoliopsida; Poales; Bromeliaceae. The record is from RNAcentral.
CUCCUAUCACAAAGGUUGGGUUCCCACUGCAGGAAGGCCCUUUACGGGCAAAGUCCCAUCCCCUUCGAUGACUCCAGGACCUUAGUCCUAUUCAGGCCUUUCGUUAAGCAAUCUGCAAAAUUCUGAUCAGAUCUGAUAAAACUUAAAGAAAUAAUAUCAUGAGAAGUUAACCAUCUAACAGACUUUUGUCUCAAUUUAAUAUGUCUACUUGCUUUAGAAUUUACCAAUUUCUUUUUACAAAAAUCAAUUGCAGCUCGAGAAUCACANNNNN